GUGGUUCCGGUUCCCGCCCCCUGGUCUCCAGGCUGACAGAGGCGAUCCGGCGACC
Molecule: non-coding RNA, 55 nt
Filed under: Herbidospora cretacea
Lineage: Bacteria; Bacillati; Actinomycetota; Actinomycetes; Streptosporangiales; Streptosporangiaceae
Description: L31-Actinobacteria ribosomal protein leader
Rfam family: L31-Actinobacteria ribosomal protein leader
Source: RNAcentral